UCCACCACUGAAAUUAUUUUUCUUCGAUGUCAUCAGUCUCUCUUAUCUGCUUUACCAUCCAAUCAAUAAAAUCUAACCAAAUCCCAUAUAUUGUGUUCUCAGUGCUGUUUCAGAAGAAAAAUGGGUUUCGAACAGCAUUUUAAUGAUGCAAAAGCUUCAAAAAUAUUUUUCUACAUUUUUGAAAGUGUUUGGAUUCAUCUGGUUUCUGUUCCUCAGGUACAUGGAAGGCUCUUUUCCUCACUUUUCUCAUCUGUGCUCUUCUGGGUUCAGUUGGGUUCAUCCUCUACAAAUACAGAGAAAAACUAACAGGGAAGAAACCCGUCAAAGAAAUUUGUGAGGAGGAAACUAUCGAGAGACUGUCAAAAGAAGGUAUUUGAAGAAGUUUAUCUGUGCAAUACUUUUAUAACGGCAGCUGCUGAAGUGACCCACUAAACGUCAAUUAAACACUCAUGUGCAUGUUGUAGCA
Molecule: long non-coding RNA, 466 nt
Organism: Cyprinus carpio (common carp)
Lineage: Eukaryota; Metazoa; Chordata; Actinopteri; Cypriniformes; Cyprinidae
Source: Ensembl